RNAcentral lists this ribosomal RNA (253 nucleotides) under uncultured bacterium. RNAcentral describes it as "partial 16S ribosomal RNA". It matches the Rfam family "Bacterial small subunit ribosomal RNA", at positions 524 to 776 of the family's 1533-position model. The record is from RNAcentral.
UACGAAGGGGGCUAGCGUUGCUCGGAAUUACUGGGCGCAAAGGGAGCGUAGGCGGAUAGUUUAGUCAGAGGUGAAAGCCCAGGGCUCAACCUUGGAACUGCCUUUGAUACUGGCUAUCUUGAGUAUGGGAGAGGUGAGUGGAACUCCGAGUGUAGAGGUGAAAUUCGUAGAUAUUCGGAAGAACACCAGUGGCGAAGGCGACUCACUGGCCCAUUACUGACGCUGAGGCUCGAAAGCGUGGGGAGCAAACAGG